Molecule: ribosomal RNA, 407 nt
Filed under: uncultured bacterium
Lineage: Bacteria
Description: partial 16S ribosomal RNA
Rfam family: Bacterial small subunit ribosomal RNA
Source: RNAcentral
GACGAACGCUGGCGGCGUGCCUAAUACAUGCAAGUAGAACGCAGUUGCGCACGCGUGAGUAACGCGUAGGUAACUGCCUGGUAGCGGGGGAUAACGUUUGGAAAAGAUAGCUAAUACCGCAUACUACCAGAUGGACCUGCGUGGUAUUAGCUAGUUGGUGGGGUAACGCAUCACCAAGGCAACGAUACAUAGCCGACCUGAGAGGGGGAUCGGCCACACUGGGACUGAGACACGCGCCAGACUCCUACGGGAGGCAGCAGUAGGGAAGCUUCGGCAAUGGACGGAAGUCUGACCGAGCAACGCGGCGUGAGUGAAGAAGGUUUUCGGAUCGUAAAGAUCUGUUGUAAGAGAAGCGGUAUCUUACCAGAAAGGGACGGCUAACUACGUGCCAGCAGCCGCGGUAAUUC